AUGAUCAUCAUCCAGUAUUGCUGUGACUGUGUACAACGUUCUUCAGAUUCUGCUUAUUUCACUCUGCAUCAGUUCAUGUAGAUCUUUCCAGUCUUUUCUGAAAUGCUCUUGCUUGUCACUUCUUAUGGCAUAAUAGUAUUCCAUCAUUAACAAGUACCACAGCUUGUUCAGCCAUUCCCCAAAUGAUGGGCAUCCCCUCAAACUCCAGUUCUUUGCCACCACAAAGAGUGUGGCUAUAAAUAUUUUUGUAUGAGUAGAUCCUUUACCCUUUUUGAUUAUCUUUUUGGUAUAUAGACCCAAUAGUGGCUUUCAAAUUGCCCUCCAGAAUGGUUGGGUUGGUUCACAACUCCCAAAACAAUGCAUUUGUCAGGUUAUUUGUGAGGAAAGUGCUUUGGAAACUUUAAAAUGAUCUAGAAAUGGAACUAUUGAUGAAAAUGAUGAGUUCAUGGCGAGGAACGGUGGGGCCAUGUAUCUAGAGUGUCUGCUAACAUCAUGCAAUGGAAAAGACCUUGGCUCUUGAGUCUCAUCAUGGGUUCAAAUCCCAUCCCUGAUGAUUACAGCCUGUAGGGUCUUGGAUAAGUCACCUAACAUCUCCUGGCUUCAGUUUUCUGUCCCAUAAAACAAGUGGAUUGGACUCAAUGAUCUUGAAAGUCUUUUCCAGCUCUUCAACAUUGACAAUAACAACAGGGAACCUUUAUCUGUUCCAUAGAUUUAUGUCCCUGGGAUUUGUAUAUUUACACCUAAUUUUCAGGGAUUUCAUACUGAAUUUGCAGAUAGGUCCCACAGAGGCUCAGAGAACUGACUUGUUCCUUCAUUCAUCCAGCCUCCUGUGACACCAUGAAAAAAACCACCCAACUUUAUGGGAAGAGGGGCCCAAGGAGGACGGGGUCAUAGCACUUUAAUGAAUACAUGCCAAGGAAGAAUGGAAAGACCUCCCUAGAGGUCUGGAGGAGGUUGGGGCAUGGAGAAGAUGCAGCUGAGAUUCUGCUAUGCUAAUGAUGGGAAAUGGUGGCUAAUUUGACAAGCCAAUUGGAGUCACAGUGAUUGCAUUUGACUUUCUGACUAAUGACGAGGGAUGAACUCUCUGUUAGUGCAACUUACAGUUGAAUAGCCUUGGGCGAUCACCCAAUCAAAUGUUCAAAAUGUUGCCAUGUACAUUGUCUAAUAAAGCCAUAAAGAAAGGGCUUUGCUAAAUGAUU
This 1199-nucleotide long non-coding RNA is filed under the name Monodelphis domestica (gray short-tailed opossum). Its description in RNAcentral is "lncRNA (ENSMODG00000030775.2)". The record is from RNAcentral. Lineage: Eukaryota; Metazoa; Chordata; Mammalia; Didelphimorphia; Didelphidae.